This 644-nucleotide unclassified non-coding RNA is filed under the name Crocus pumilus. Its description in RNAcentral is "sequence contains ITS1, 5.8S rRNA gene and ITS2". The stretch from base 233 to 388 matches the Rfam family "5.8S ribosomal RNA". Lineage: Eukaryota; Viridiplantae; Streptophyta; Magnoliopsida; Asparagales; Iridaceae. The record is from RNAcentral.
UCGAGACCCGAACGGACGAUCGCGAACGUGUUAUAUAUUUGCUUACAACAACUCCGGUUCGCCCCGCCGCUCCUCGCGGAACCGCGUGACAAGACGGAGGAAACGAAACCCCGGCGCGGUAGGCGCCAAGGAACACUUUUUGGAAGCGUUGUCGCGGCCUCCUUCCCCUCCCCCAUCAUGGGGAGGAAGGAGGGGGGAACGCGGGCGUGGAUAUGGAUAUCGUAUUCUGUACGACUCUCGGCAACGGAUAUCUAGGCUCUCGCAUCGAUGAAGAACGUAGCGAAAUGCGAUACUUGGUGUGAAUUGCAGAAUCCCGUGAACCAUCGAGUCUUUGAACGCAAGUUGCGCCCGAGGCCAUCCGGUCGAGGGCACGCCUGCCUGGGCGUCACGCCUCCCGUCGCUCCCCACAGUCGUGCGGAUGCGGAGAUUGGCCCACCGUACUUCGUGCGCGGCGGGUCGAAGUUCGGGCCGUCGUCGGGCCGAGCGCGGCGAAUGGUGGACGAAUACUUCGUUGUUUGUGCCUACUCUCCGUGCCCCGGCCCCAACAGUACGACGCACCGUCAUCGGACCCCUCACCAAGGAAGGACCCUCUUCUGCUUCUUCCAGAAGAAGAAGAAGGAGGAGGGAUCCGUGUCCUCGGAACG